UGAGUACGAGAUGCUACGGCAUCGAAGCAGUCUAUGUCAUACUUCCAAGAAAAGCUUGCAAUGUCAUAAACAAAUAAUGCCUGUACCAUAACCGACACAGGUGGGUAGGUAGAGUAUACUAAGGGGCGCGAGAUAACUCUCCCUAAGGAACUCGGCAAAAUGACUCCGUAACUUCGGGAGAAGGAGUGCCUUAUUUUUAUAAGGUUGCAAUAACAAGAUCCAAGCAACUGUUUACCAAAAACACAGGUCUCCGCUAAGUCGUAAGAUGAUGUAUGGGGGCUGACGCCUGCCCAGUGCCAGAAGGUUAAAGAAGUUGGUUAGCAUUAGCGAAGCUGAUAACUGAAGCCCUGGUGAACGGCGGCCGUAACCAUAACGGUCCUAAGGUAGCGAAAUUCCUUGUCGGAUAAGUUCCGACCCGCACGAAAGGCGUAAUGAUUUGGAUACUGUCUCGGAGAGGGGCUCGGUGAAAUAGACUUGUCUGUGAAGAUGCGGACUACCUGCACCUGGACAGAAAGACCCUAUGAAGCUUUACUGUAACUUGAGAUUGAAAUUGGACUUUAUCUGCGCAGUAUAGGUGGGAGACGUUGAAAAUAUUCUUGCGGGAAUAUUGGAGUCAUCAGUGAGAUACCACUCUUAUAAUGUUAGAUUUCUAACUUUGUAUCAUUAUCUGGUCAAAGAACAGUUUCAGGCGGGCAGUUUGACUGGGGCGGUCGCCUCCCAAACGGUAACGGAGGCGCACAAAGGUUUCCUCUGAACGUGUAGAAAUCGUAUCUAGAGUGUAAAGGCAUAAGGAAGCUUGACUGUGAGACCUACAAGUCGAGCAGGGACGAAAGUCGGUCUUAGUGAUCUGACGGUGCUGAGUGGAAAGGCCGUCACUCAACGGAUAAAAGUUACUCUAGGAUAACAGGCUGAUCUCCCCCAAGAGUUCACAUCGACGGGGAGGUUUGGCACCUCGAUGUCGGCUCAUCGCAUCCUGGGGCGGUAGUACGUCCCAAGGGUUGGGCUGUUCGCCCAUGAAAGCGGUACGCGAGCUGGGUUCAGAACGUCGUGAGACAGUUCGGUCCAUAUCCGGUGUAGGCGUUAGAAUAUUGAGAGGAGCCUUCUUUAGUACGAGAGGACCGAGAAGGACAUACCUCUGGUGUACCAGUUAUCGUGCCAACGGUAAACGCUGGGUAGCCAUGUAUGGAGAGGAUAACCGCUGAAAGCAUCUAAGUGGGAAGCCCACCUCAAGAUAAGUAUUCUC
Molecule: ribosomal RNA, 1243 nt
Filed under: metagenome
Description: bacterial LSU rRNA
Rfam family: Bacterial large subunit ribosomal RNA
Source: RNAcentral